GCCCAGACUCCUACGGGAGGCAGCAGUGGGGAAUAUUGCACAAUGGGGGGAACCCUGAUGCAGCGACGCCGCGUGGGCGAGGAAGUAUUUCGGUAUGUAAAGCCCUAUCGGCAGGGAAGAAGAAAUGACGGUACCUGAAUAAGAAGCACCGGCUAAAUACGUGCCAGCAGCCGCGGUAAUACGUAUGGUGCAAGCGUUAUCCGGAUUUACUGGGCGUAAAGGGAGCGCAGGCGGCGCGCCAAGUCUGAUGUGAAACCCCGGGGCUCAACCCCGGGCAUGCAUUGGAAACUGGCGGGCUGGAGUGCCGGAGAGGUAAGCGGAAUUCCUAGUGUAGCGGUGAAAUGCGUAGAUAUUAGGAGGAACACCGGUGGCGAAGGCGACUAUCUGGCACAUAACUGACGCUGAGGAGCGAAAGCGUGGGUAGCAAACAGGAUUAGAUACCCUUGUA
Molecule: ribosomal RNA, 448 nt
Filed under: uncultured bacterium
Lineage: Bacteria
Description: partial 16S ribosomal RNA
Rfam family: Bacterial small subunit ribosomal RNA
Source: RNAcentral